This 658-nucleotide ribosomal RNA is filed under the name Cutaneotrichosporon oleaginosum. RNAcentral describes it as "eukaryotic LSU rRNA". It matches the Rfam family "Eukaryotic large subunit ribosomal RNA", at positions 1 to 648 of the family's 3401-position model. The record is from RNAcentral. Lineage: Eukaryota; Fungi; Basidiomycota; Tremellomycetes; Trichosporonales; Trichosporonaceae.
CUGGUCUCAAAUCAGGUAGGACUACCCGCUGAACUUAAGCAUAUCAAUAAGCGGAGGAAAAGAAACUAACAAGGAUUCCCUUAGUAACGGCGAGUGAACCGGGAAAAGCUCAAAUUUGUAAUCUGGCUGUCUUCGAUAGUCCGAGUUGUAAUCUAUAGACGUGUUUUCCGUGCUGGACCGUAUCUAAGUCCCUUGGAACAGGGUAUCAAAGAGGGUGACAAUCCCGUGCUUGAUACGACCACCAGUGCUCUGUGAUACACGUUCUACGAGUCGAGUUGUUUGGGAAUGCAGCUCAAAAUGGGUGGUAAAUUCCAUCUAAAGCUAAAUAUUGGCGAGAGACCGAUAGCGAACAAGUACCGUGAGGGAAAGAUGAAAAGCACUUUGGAAAGAGAGUUAAACAGUACGUGAAAUUGUUGAAAGGGAAACGAUUGAAGUCAGUCGUGUUCUUCAGAUUCAGCUGGUUCUUCCAGUCUACUUCUGUGGAACGGGUCAACAUCAGUUUUGUCCGGUGGAUAAAGGUAGUAGGAAUGUGACUCCCCCGGGAGUGUUAUAGCCUAUUAUUGCAUACACUGGGUGAGACUGAGGACUGCAGCUCGCCUUUUGGCCGGUCUUCGGACACGUUCGAGCUUAGGAUGUUGACAUAAUGGCUUUAAACGAC